This 407-nucleotide ribosomal RNA is filed under the name Pseudomonas putida. RNAcentral's name for it is "bacterial SSU rRNA". It matches the Rfam family "Bacterial small subunit ribosomal RNA", at positions 100 to 502 of the family's 1533-position model. Lineage: Bacteria; Pseudomonadati; Pseudomonadota; Gammaproteobacteria; Pseudomonadales; Pseudomonadaceae. The record is from RNAcentral.
GGACGGGUGAGUAAUGCCUAGGAAUCUGCCUGGUAGUGGGGGACAACGUUUCGAAAGGAACGCUAAUACCGCAUACGUCCUACGGGAGAAAGCAGGGGACCUUCGGGCCUUGCGCUAUCAGAUGAGCCUAGGUCGGAUUAGCUAGUUGGUGAGGUAAUGGCUCACCAAGGCGACGAUCCGUAACUGGUCUGAGAGGAUGAUCAGUCACACUGGAACUGAGACACGGUCCAGACUCCUACGGGAGGCAGCAGUGGGGAAUAUUGGACAAUGGGCGAAAGCCUGAUCCAGCCAUGCCGCGUGUGUGAAGAAGGUCUUCGGAUUGUAAAGCACUUUAAGUUGGGAGGAAGGGCAGUAAGCGAAUACCUUGCUGUUUUGACGUUUACCGACAGAAUAAGCACCGGCUAACU